Oreochromis niloticus (Nile tilapia) is the source of this 2926-nucleotide long non-coding RNA. NCBI's taxonomy places the organism in Eukaryota, Metazoa, Chordata, Actinopteri, Cichliformes, Cichlidae. The record is from Ensembl.
CUCAAUAAUCAAAAAUCAGGGAAAGCCCAAACCGCGCUGUUCCCAUCAGCAGCCCUUCACCAUGGCAAAACAUGCAGGAAAAGUGUGGAGGUUUAUUCAAGUGUUCAGAGAGUUUGUUCCCUGUGGUGGUAAAAGCGAAGUAUGUUCAACAAGCCGCUGAGCAAGGUUUUUACACAUGCACACAAAGUAGGCAAACUCGGGAUCGGGACGGAGCAUGCGCGCCAAUCCCACCUCUCCGAAAAAUACUGUAUUUAUAAUAAGCUUAAAACGAGCCAUUAUUGUGUUAUUCUGGCCAAAUUACCUUAGGUUAUUAUAUUACAUUUUUAUAACACUAUUUCCACCACGUCCGGCACACCGUUAGGAACCUUAUACGUCACAGACCUGCAGCUGGUAUAAAAAGCUCCGUCUGAUCCAGCCUCCACAUUAGAGAGAAGCAGCGUCUGAGAGCAUCGUAAACCAUCUGGCCAGGUUACAAAGAAAAAAACAAAUGUGCAAAAUGACGAAUGUUCAACUAGGAGUGGUUUUGCUCGCCAUAUGUUUAUCAACACAGAUGGUCUCCUGGACUGCAAUGGCAGUCAGCAGCAACAGCACAGCUAUGACAGCAGGGGGGAACUCCACCUACAAUGGUACCACUACCACGGCCACAGACACCUUUAGCGGUGCAACCAACUCCACCUCCGCUACUGGAGCGGGCGUCUCACUGCACACAGGCACCUUCACUUUCUUGAUCCCCUUCGUCAUGGCAGCCUUUCUCCUCCAAAGCUACUGUUGAAGCCCGGAGCCCACAGCCCCCAUCUUCUCUGCCUCAACACUCCUCCUCACCUCCCAUCCCAUUAUCCCACGCAGUCCAGCCUCUCUCAGAGACCACAAGACUAACAUGGAUGGGCUCUACAACCUUUCUACGUCCUCCUUAAGUAAUGCUAAAAAGUAUGUAAGUCAAGACAUUUCUUUUAACAAAGGGGGUUUAGCCUACAGCGGGAGAUCAUCACCAAUCCAACUUCCUUCAGCCCCUUGCACGGAUUCAAAAGGAACAGUGGUGCAUCCAGCUUCCCUUUUUGGCUUGCAUUUCCUUAGUCAUGCCAUCACAUUUUGGAGAUGCUCAGGGCUGCGGGUUUUCAUGUCACGUGUCUCGAUUGAAAUGCGGACCACUUGAGUGUACAGAGGUUCUUUUUGUGGCUUCUAAUCGACCUGGCAAUCAAUAUCAGAAUGUGUUUUGUUUGUUAAAGUUUGGCAGAUACAGUAGGAGGUUUGAGAAAAAAGUAUGAGCCAGAUGACCUCUUUAGUUGGUUUUACAAACAAAACAAAACAAAAAACAAAAAAAUGGCUCUUCAGUCUUUUUAUUAGAAAUGUCAUUGAGAUGUAUGUAGCAAAAAAGUUGCCACAUGAUGUGUCAGUUUUGCCUUGUGAUUUUUAAAGAGCUGUGGUCUUUUACAAUGAGGGUUUGAUUGACACCUUUGCUCCCUUCAUCCAACGGUUAGGUGCAGGAAAUGAGUGUAUGUGAAACCAUAUGGGAGGGGUUGAUGUUACAAUUCCCCCUUAUAGUUUAUAUUUUGUAUAAAUGGAAAUGUUGUACUGUUUAUUAGUUUGCGUAAAGAUCAUUGAAGAAACGACAAUGUACAAUAAAUUAUGAAAAACUACAACUGUAAUCGCUUCUUUGAUUCUCAUUUUGUUUUAACAUGGCUAACUUUCCAGAGGAAACAUUUAACCAACUCUAUCUAAUCCUUUGGUUUUCCCACCUCCAAACGUGCAGGCCAUUUAUCAUCCUUGUGCAGUGUAUAGAAUUAAAGGGUGUGGUGAUAUUUUAUUCAUCAUUACUAAGCUGCCAGGCAGUCGAGACAGGCAGUUGCUGAGCUGCAGGCCAGAGAGAUGGACUCAGCACUCCCUUGUGCCCCUAAAGAUCUACUCUGGAUUUGUGCCAGAGCAGUACUUACCGACUGGAUACAAAACAAUAUCAGCCCCUAUGGUGCUCUAGUGACGAACAACAUUUAGACAGAUGGAUGAUGAGUCUUCAAUUUUGAGUUUAGAAGAGGGAGAGAGGCCAUGCAACAGCUGAUAACAUGCACAAAUGGGUUAUUUCAGUCUGAAGUUUGAAUACCAUUAUUUUUAUCUUUCAAUAUCUGAAAGAAUAAAGAUGAUGUCAAAGACCUCUCCAGGGAACACAAUGUCAAAUUUGAUUAUGUACUUAAACAGGUUUGGCCUUUGGCUGUUACUUAACACUGUCUAGUCUUGUCUGUGGCUUAAUUCACCAACAGCUGCAGAGUAUAGAAUAAUAUCUGUGGAGGCAUGAGAUCAAUUGAAGUUCAUAUGAUUCUAACUGAAAUAUUUUCUAAAUAUCUAAUGUAUUCAAUACAAGAAAUGUUUAUUUUUUUCUAAAUAUGCUCUCUUGGGGAACGAAUGAACAGCAGAUUUAAUUAAACUUAAUUAAACCUAAAGUCAGCUCUUCUAUUAUCCCAUUUGUAAUAGUGCGUUUAGGGGCGUCAUUAUUCGUACACGGAGCUUCAGAUUUAUCCCUCAUUAUUCCAUGCAUCCAUUUCCUUUUGGGGGUUUUGGUAGCUCUCUGUUAUUCACUGCUAGUCUGGCAAACAAAAAAAAAAGCUACCAACAAAGGGGGAAAAAAAUCAACACAUCCCAUACGAGCGUGCCCCUAUGAUGACAGAGAGUAGCGUGUGGCUCGGAAAUGCCUCAGCACCAGUAAAGCCAGCCGCAUGACUCAUUAGCCCAGUCUAUUGUUUCUCAAUCCUCUCUGCACUAUUAACCUCUCCUCACGCCCGGUCUCCCCUCUCUUUUAACAUCCCUGUUCCGGAUCUAUCUGUUUAAUAUCCCCCAACAGACUAGUCUGCAAAUGCAAGUUCUCAAAAACGAAUGAGGCUUUUUCUUCCCAUAAUGCAGCUGAAGUCAUGAUUUGACAGUGAUGUUAAGACUUUCA